AGUGGAAUAGUUGGGUCAUAUGGUGGUUCCAGUUUUUUUGAGGAAUCUCUAUACUGCUUUCCGGAGUGGUUGUAUUACUCUGCAGUCUCAUCAACAGU
This 98-nucleotide microRNA precursor is filed under the name Marmota monax (woodchuck). Lineage: Eukaryota; Metazoa; Chordata; Mammalia; Rodentia; Sciuridae. The record is from RNAcentral.